RNAcentral lists this ribosomal RNA (631 nucleotides) under uncultured bacterium. RNAcentral's name for it is "bacterial SSU rRNA". It matches the Rfam family "Bacterial small subunit ribosomal RNA", at positions 139 to 788 of the family's 1533-position model. The record is from RNAcentral.
GGGGAUAACACUUAGAAAUAGGUGCUAAAACCGCAUAAGCGCACAGGAUCGCAUGGUCUGGUGUGAAAAACUCCGGUGGUAUACGAUGGACCCGCGUCUGAUUAGCUUGUUGGCGGGGUAGAGGCCCACCAAGGCGACGAUCAGUAGCCGGCCUGAGAGGGUGAACGGCCACAUUGGGACUGAGACACGGCCCAAACUCCUACGGGAGGCAGCAGUGGGGAAUAUUGCACAAUGGGGGAAACCCUGAUGCAGCGACGCCGCGUGAGUGAAGAAGUAUUUCGGUAUGUAAAGCUCUAUCAGCAGGAAAGAAAAUGACGGUACCUGACUAAGAAGCCCCGGCUAACUACGUGCCAGCAGCCGCGGUAAUACGUAGGGGGCAAGCGUUAUCCGGAUUUACUGGGUGUAAAGGGAGCGUAGACGGUGAAGCAAGUCUGAAGUGAAAGGCGGGGGCUCAACCCCCGGACUGCUUUGGAAACUGUUUGACUGGAGUGCAGGAGAGGUAAGUGGAAUUCCUAGUGUAGCGGUGAAAUGCGUAGAUAUUAGGAGGAACACCAGUGGCGAAGGCGGCUUACUGGACUGUAACUGACGUUGAGGCUCGAAAGCGUGGGGAGCAAACAGGAUUAGAUACCCU